RNAcentral lists this ribosomal RNA (497 nucleotides) under uncultured bacterium. Its description in RNAcentral is "partial 16S ribosomal RNA". It matches the Rfam family "Bacterial small subunit ribosomal RNA", at positions 28 to 507 of the family's 1533-position model. The record is from RNAcentral.
GAUGAACGCUGGCGGCGUGCCUAAUACAUGCAAGUCGAGCGAACAGACGAGGAGCUUGCUCCUCUGACGUUAGCGGCGGACGGGUGAGUAACACGUGGAUAACCUACCUAUAAGACUGGGAUAACUUCGGGAAACCGGAGCUAAUACCGGAUAAUAUAUUGAACCGCAUGGUUCAAUAGUGAAAGACGGUUUUGCUGUCACUUAUAGAUGGAUCCGCGCCGCAUUAGCUAGUUGGUAAGGUAACGGCUUACCAAGGCAACGAUGCGUAGCCGACCUGAUAGGGUGAUCGGCCACACUGUAACUGAGACACGGUCCAGACUCCUACGGGAGGCAGCAGUAGGGAAUCUUCCGCAAUGGGGGAAAGCCUGACGGAGCAACGCCGCGUGAGUGAUGAAGGUCUUCGGAUCGUAAUACUCUGUUAUUAGGGAAGAACAAAUGUGUAAGUAACUAUGCACGUCUUGACGGUACCGAAUCAGAAAGCCACGGCUAACUACGUG